AUACAUAGGGGGCGAGCGUUAUCCGGAUUUAUUGGGCGUAAAGGGUGCGUAGGCGGUAAAUUAAGUCUAAGGUUAAAGUGCAGGGCUCAACCCUGUGAUGCCUUAGAAACUGGUUUACUUGAGUUUGGUAGAGGUAAGUGGAACUCCAUGUGUAGCGGUAAAAUGCGUAAAUAUAUGGAAGAACACCAGUGGCGAAGGCGGCUUACUGGGCCACAACUGACGCUGAGGCACGAAAGCGUGGGGAGCAAACAGGAUUAGAUACCCUGGUAGUCCACGCUGUAAACGAUGAAUACUAAGUGUUGGAAAAAUCCAGUGCUGAAGUUAACGCAUUAAGUAUUCCGCCUGAGUAGUACGUACGCAAGUAUGAAACUCAAGGGAAUUGACGGGG
Molecule: ribosomal RNA, 388 nt
Filed under: uncultured bacterium
Lineage: Bacteria
Description: partial 16S ribosomal RNA
Rfam family: Bacterial small subunit ribosomal RNA
Source: RNAcentral